CUUUUUUUUUAAUUCACAUGACAAGAAUGCGUGUGAAAAACUGAUCCUUUAUUUUCAUUUUGCCAAUUGAAUAGGACAUGAAACAAGCAAGCAUAGUUUAUGCUUUGUAGAGAGAACACACUAACGACAAUUCAAAGAAAUACACACGCACCAAGUGCCAGAGAAAGAAUUACCUUUUUCGCUAUAACUGAUGGUUUCUAUCCACCGCCCAUCGCUAUAUCCUAUCCACACACACACUCUCUCUCUUUCUCUCUCUUCUCAUUUCUUUAACCAUGGACAGCAGCAGUGCUAAUCUAUAACAGAAAUGUCUCUUUUUGUCACGUUGAACUGCAGCAACAGCGUACCAACAGCAGCCAUAAAAUGGCAGUGGCGCCGGGCAUCCACACGGCACAGCAACAACUAGCAAUGUCCGACAACAGCAGCUAGCAGUGACCGGCAUCAACCUUGAGCGACAGGAAGAGAGGGAAGCAGAAGUAGCUGGGUCGCACGCACUAGCAGAAAAAGAGACAUGUCUAGCGGCAACCACUGGCAUCAAUCCAUCUACUCCUGUAGUUAUCAACAGGACAAACCAUAAAGGUUCAGUUCAAACAAACAUCAAAACGUCAGUUUCAGUCAAAACAAUAUUAAGCAGAUUUGGGAGACUGAGGAGCGGCAGCGCAACGUUUGUGUACAGAUCCAUAGUGCAUAGCUUCCACAAAAUCUGUACGAAAAUUAUCUCCAACGAAGCAGGGGACCAGGGGACUAGCCAGUCGCAGGAGAUGCAUCAAUUGCAGGUUUGAAGCACACAAAUGGAAGAAUCUCAAUAGAGACUAUCAGUCCAAGUAUGGUUGCAGCGAGAGCACUGCCCGAUGCAGCUGGAAUGGCUGCACACGCACGAGGAUCCGGCCCCGAUCCAAAGGGAGUGACCUAGGAGGAGGCACACGACAGUGUGUGGCCUAGCGGCAGCGCGCAGGUGUCCCUGGACAGCCGAAUUGGAAAGAUGUAGGGACGGCGGUGGAGGUUGACCGAGGUGACGCACUGACGACGGAUCUGGCACCACCUCUGGCCGGUGAACUUUGUGCGGCGGCGCAAUCGACCUGCAGGAGCAUGGUGCGGUGACCUGCAUGGGAUCUCCCAUGGGUAGGUGGUCGCCAGGGACACCCAAUACUAAAGACGAGGUGUGCAGGCGGCGGAGCAUGGGCAGGUGAAAGAAGCAGCGGCUCCUCUGGCCGGAGAGAGCCACGGCGGCCGCACAAUGAAGAGGUGGUCGCCAGGGACACCCGAGGCCUCCGUGAAGCGCCAGUGGCGGUGCGCAUGGCCGGCUUUGGUAGGAUGAGGAUGGCGGCGGGGCCGCGGGAGGAGGCCGCCGGCGGGUUGCGGGAGGAGGCCGGCAGCAGAUCCUCUUGAGGAGGGCGGCGAGGGGUCGCUGAAGGAGGUCAGCGACGGGUCACGGGAGGAGGCCGGCGAUGGGUCAAAGGAGGAGGUCGGCGUCGGGUCACAGGAGGAGGCUGGCGACGGGUCGCGGGAGGAACUAUUCUGAUAUAUAUAGCAUAUAUAUAUCAACAGUCUGGAACGCAUGAAAACCUGGACUGUGUAUACCUUGAACUAUGUCAAUGGCUUGAGCUUGUACUCCCAAGUCCCAACUGUUUCACCAUCUAAAUCUGGUCAACAUUAUCAGCAUGAUCAGCGUUUA
This is a long non-coding RNA of Aegilops tauschii subsp. strangulata, 1672 nucleotides long. RefSeq lists it as uncharacterized. NCBI's taxonomy places the organism in Eukaryota, Viridiplantae, Streptophyta, Magnoliopsida, Poales, Poaceae. The record is from RefSeq and is a predicted model, not a curated record.